AUCCCAAAUCCGGGUCUGAAUUCCCUGGGAGGAGCUUCCUUACAGGGGGAUCAGACCCCUUUUCCAUGGGGAAAUCCCAAUCCCAAAUCUGGAUCUGAACCCUGUGGGACGAGUAUCCUUCCAGGAGGAUCAGACCCUUUUUCCAUAGGGAAAGCUCAAUCCCGAUCCCAAAUUCAGGUCUGAAUUCCCUGGGAGGAGCAUCCUUACAGGGGGAUCAGACCCUUUUUCCAUGGGGAAAUCCCAAUCCCAAAUCUGGAUCUGAACCCACUGAAAGGAGCAUCCUUCCAGGAGGAUCAGACCCUUUUUCCAUAGGGAAAUCUCAAUCCCAAAUCCAAAUUUGGGUCUGAAUUCCCUGGGAGGAGCAUCCUUACAGGGGGAUCAGACCCUUUUUCCAUGGGGAAAUCCCAAUCCCAAAUCCAGGUCUGAAUUCCCUGGGAGGAGCUUCUUUCCAUGGGGGGAUCAGACCCUUUUUCCAUGGGGAAAUCCCAUGGGGAUCAGACCAUUUCUCCAUGGGGAAAUCCCAAUCCCAAAUCUGGAUCUGAACCCACUGAAAGAAGCUUCCCUACAGGGGGAUCAGACCCUUUUUCCAUGGGGAAAUCCCAUGGGGAUCAGACCCUUUUUCCAUAGGGAAAUCCUUCCAGGGGGAUCAGACCCUUUUUCCAUGGGGAAAUCCCAAUCCCGACCCCAAAUCCGGGUCUGAAUUCCCUGGGAGGAGCUGCCUUCCAGGGGGAUCAGAAUUAACAGGGGAGAAACCCUAAAAGAGAGAAACCCCCCUUGGGAUCAGAGGGAAAUCCCUGAGGAACAGAGGGAUCCCAAACNAGGACAGGACACACCCCAAUUCCUCCAUCUUACUCCUCUAAACCCCCCUGUACAUAAAUCCUAAACCCUGUGUCUCACCCUCUAAUUAGCUAAUCUCUUUGCCAUUCACCCCGGUGAAGUCCUCUUAUCUUCAUAAAGGUGUCGUCUCCCGUGUAGGGUCAAAGUCCUGCCACCAAACACUUCUGGCAACAUUCCAGGACUCCCGGGCCCCCCAAGGGUGGUCUCGGAGGCUCAGCAUCUCAGGACUCAGAUCCUGAGAUCCCACACCUUGGCACAGGGGCGGUGACACCGCGUCCUCGGCGCUGCCACUGAGACACACACACACAGAGAUCCAAAAAUGUGGGAAAAUGUGUGGGAAAUUUAUUCUCAAGGAUGGAGAAAACCAAGCCUGGGAG
Molecule: long non-coding RNA, 1214 nt
Filed under: Zonotrichia albicollis (white-throated sparrow)
Lineage: Eukaryota; Metazoa; Chordata; Aves; Passeriformes; Passerellidae
Description: lncRNA (ENSZALG00000002755.1)
Source: RNAcentral